CUGCCCCCUAGAGUUCCUCUAAACGCUUCAUUGGGGUCAUUUGGAGAAUAAGUUGUCGCCCUACUGAAGUGUUUGGGCGAACUCCGGGUGCCAC
Citrus sinensis (sweet orange) is the source of this 94-nucleotide non-coding RNA. NCBI's taxonomy places the organism in Eukaryota, Viridiplantae, Streptophyta, Magnoliopsida, Sapindales, Rutaceae. The record is from Rfam.